CCUACGGGUGGCAGCAGUCGAGAAUCAUUCACAAUGGGGGAAACCCUGAUGGUGCGACGCCGCGUGGGGGAAUGAAGGUCUUCGGAUUGUAAACCCCUGUCAUGUGGGAGCAAAUUAAAAAGAUAGUACCACAAGAGGAAGAGACGGCUAACUCUGUGCCAGCAGCCGCGGUAAUACAGAGGUCUCAAGCGUUGUUCGGAAUCACUGGGCGUAAAGCGUGCGUAGGCUGUUUCGUAAGUCGUGUGUGAAAGGCGCGGGCUCAACCCGCGGACGGAACAUGAUACUGCGAGACUAGAGUAAGGGAGGGGGAACCGGAAUUCUCGGUGUAGCAGUGAAAUGCGUAGAGAGCGAGAGGAACACUCGUGGCGAAGGCGGGUUCCUGGACAUUAACUGACGCUGAGGCACGAAGGCCAGGGGAGCGAAAGGGAUUAGAUACCCCAGUAGUC
RNAcentral lists this ribosomal RNA (446 nucleotides) under uncultured bacterium. Its description in RNAcentral is "partial 16S ribosomal RNA". It matches the Rfam family "Bacterial small subunit ribosomal RNA", at positions 338 to 795 of the family's 1533-position model. The record is from RNAcentral.